Mytilus californianus (California mussel) is the source of this 576-nucleotide long non-coding RNA. RefSeq lists it as uncharacterized. The transcript is spliced from 2 exons. The record is from RefSeq and is a predicted model, not a curated record. NCBI's taxonomy places the organism in Eukaryota, Metazoa, Mollusca, Bivalvia, Mytilida, Mytilidae.
ACAUUUAUUGUAAAUAAAAGACUUUUUGGCUGGAAUUUCCGAUAAUAUUGAUUUUAUUAAUGCCAUGUGUGUAAGAAGGCAUUUCUUUGUUUAAGUAUAUCAACAUGAGGUCAAGGACUGCAUGUUCAAUGCAUGAUCAUCUAAUAACAUUAUCUGAUUGGUCAGUUCUUGAGAUCGGUAAUUAAUAUCAAAUUUCUACAUGUGCUCGGACAUGCGGUCAUUCGCCUUUGUUUUGGGAGAGAGAAAAGAUCGUUUUUGAAUUUUAUCUGAAAACCCUCCCAUUUCCCUCCCUUUUAAGCGUUAUUAUAUAGGACAUUUAUUUUUCUUUAAACAUCAAUUAAGGACAAUAUUCAUUGUAUUGUUUAUAUACUUUGUAUAUAUAUAUGUUGGUGAGUUAAUUUUUUCAACUCACUUUUAUUUUUGUCAUUUUUAUGAUGUUUAUUAUGUUAGGGUGUGGAACUUUUUCAACCCCACCUUUGCUUAUUAAAGUCAUUGUCAUUUAUGCAGUACUAUUAUAAUUGUUAAGAUGUAAGUUGCAUUUUAAAUUAAUUUCUGAAUAAAUGACAUUUUACUCAA